UGGUCAGAAUUCCAAGAAUGGAUCACUGAAGCUAAUUAGGGACCAGAAGAAAAUUUUAAAUGAUUCAGAAGGAGACAACAGCAUGCCAAGAGUUGGAGGAAGCAGCCAAAGAAGAAAAAGAGGAAGACCACGUAAAUUAGUAGUCACAAGCAGGGCUCCAGAAGACGGCUCUGCAGGUAAGGAUCACAAAAGGGCUGGAAUUGCUGCUGAUGAAACUGGAGUAAAAGAUCAUAUAACUAAUGAAACUGAGUUGC
Pistacia vera is the source of this 254-nucleotide long non-coding RNA. RefSeq lists it as uncharacterized. Lineage: Eukaryota; Viridiplantae; Streptophyta; Magnoliopsida; Sapindales; Anacardiaceae. The record is from RefSeq and is a predicted model, not a curated record. The transcript is spliced from 3 exons.